Molecule: ribosomal RNA, 700 nt
Filed under: uncultured bacterium
Lineage: Bacteria
Description: bacterial SSU rRNA
Rfam family: Bacterial small subunit ribosomal RNA
Source: RNAcentral
GGAUGAGCGGCGGACGGGUGAGUAACGCGUGGGGAUAUGCCCUUCUCUAAGGAAUAGCCUCUGGAAACGGAGAGUAAUACCCUAUACGCCCUUCGGGGGAAAGAUUUAUCGGAGAAGGAUUAGCCCGCGUUAGAUUAGGUAGUUGGUGGGGUAAUGGCCUACCAAGCCUACGAUCUAUAGCUGGUUUGAGAGGAUGAUCAGCCACACUGGGACUGAGACACGGCCCAGACUCCUACGGGAGGCAGCAGUAGGGAAUCUUAGACAAUGGGGGAAACCCUGAUCUAGCCAUGCCGCGUGUGUGAUGAAGGCCUUAGGGUCGUAAAGCACUUUCGCCAGAGAUGAUAAUGACAGUAUCUGGUAAAGAAACCCCGGCUAACUCCGUGCCAGCAGCCGCGGUAAUACGGAGGGGGUUAGCGUUGUUCGGAAUUACUGGGCGUAAAGCGCACGUAGGCGGAUUAGUAAGUUAGAGGUGAAAUCCCAGGGCUCAACCCUGGAACUGCCUUUAAUACUGCUAGUCUUGAGUUCGAGAGAGGUAAGUGGAAUUCCAAGUGUAGAGGUGAAAUUCGUAGAUAUUUGGAGGAACACCAGUGGCGAAGGCGGCUUACUGGCUCGAUACUGACGCUGAGGUGCGAAAGUGUGGGGAGCAAACAGGAUUAGAUACCCUGGUAGUCCACACCGUAAACGAUGAAUGCCAGACGUU